GAGUAAACCCAUGUUGUCUCUGAUCUUGAAAUCCAUGUGUUUUUAGAUGUUCAACAAUCCUAUCCUUUAACAUGGUUUCCAUCACUUUCCCCACUACUGAAGUAAGGCUUACUGGCCUAUAGUUGCCCGACUCCUCCCUAUUACCUUUCUUGUAAAUGGGCACAACAUUCGCUAACUUCCAAUCUUCUGGGACUACUCCUGUUAACAAUGAUUGGUUAAAUAAAUCUGUUAAUGGUUUUGCUAGUACACCACUAAACUCUUAAUAGCUUUGGGUGUAUUCCAUCAGGUACCAUUGGCUUAUUUGUCUUUACUUUUGACAGUUGAAAU
Molecule: long non-coding RNA, 327 nt
Filed under: Pelobates cultripes (western spadefoot toad)
Lineage: Eukaryota; Metazoa; Chordata; Amphibia; Anura; Pelobatidae
Source: RNAcentral